GGGGCUGUAGCUCAGUUGGUAGAGCGCUUGCAUGGCAUGCAAGAGGUCGGCAGUUCGAUUCUGCUCAGCUCCA
Molecule: transfer RNA, 73 nt
Filed under: Acidimicrobiia bacterium
Lineage: Bacteria; Bacillati; Actinomycetota; Acidimicrobiia
Description: tRNA-Ala
Rfam family: tRNA
About the family: Transfer RNA (tRNA) molecules are approximately 80 nucleotides in length. Their secondary structure includes four short double-helical elements and three loops (D, anti-codon, and T loops). Further hydrogen bonds mediate the characteristic L-shaped molecular structure. tRNAs have two regions of fundamental functional importance: the anti-codon, which is responsible for specific mRNA codon recognition, and the 3' end, to which the tRNAs corresponding amino acid is attached (by aminoacyl-tRNA synthetases). tRNAs cope with the degeneracy of the genetic code in two manners: having more than one tRNA (with a specific anti-codon) for a particular amino acid; and 'wobble' base-pairing, i.e. permitting non-standard base-pairing at the 3rd anti-codon position.
Source: RNAcentral